RNAcentral lists this long non-coding RNA (248 nucleotides) under Homo sapiens (human). Its description in RNAcentral is "non-protein coding lnc-IGLL5-3:2". The record is from RNAcentral. Lineage: Eukaryota; Metazoa; Chordata; Mammalia; Primates; Hominidae.
ACAAGGCCACACUGGUGUGUCUCAUGAGUGACUUCUACCCGAGAGCCAUGACAGUGGCCUGGAAGAUAGAUGGCAUCACCAUCACCCAGGGUGUGGAGACCACCACACCCUCCAAACAGAGCAACAAGUAUGCGGCCAGCAGCUACCUAAGACUGGCACCCGACAGUGGAAGUCCCACAACCUCUACAGCUGCCAGGUCACGCAUGAAAGGAACACUGUGGAGAAGACAGUGGCCCCUGCAGAAUGUU